GAUUAACGCUGGCGGCGUGCAUAACACAUGCAAGUCGAACGAUGAAACUUUAAUGACCCCUUCGGGGAGAAUUAAAGCGGAUUAGUGGCGAACGGGUGAGUAACGCGUGAGUAACCUGCCUUACACAAGGGGAUAGCCUUUGGAAACGAAGAAUAAUACCCUAUAAAACCAUAAAAGCACAUGCAAUUAUGGUCAAAGUGAUAGCGGUGUAAGAUGGACUUGCGUCUGAUUAGCUAGUUGGUGAGAUAAAAGCCCACCAAGGCAACGAUCAGUAGCCGGCUUGAGAGGGUGUACGGCCACAUUGGGACUGAGACACGGCCCAGACUCCUACGGGAGGCAGCAGUGGGGAAUUUUGCACAAUGGGGGAAACCCUGAUGCAGCGACGCCGCGUGAUUUAGAAGGCCUUCGGGUUGUAAAAAUCUUUUGUAUAGGAAGAAAAUGACAGUACUAUACGAAUAAGGUCCGGCUAAUUACGU
RNAcentral lists this ribosomal RNA (476 nucleotides) under uncultured bacterium. Its description in RNAcentral is "partial 16S ribosomal RNA". It matches the Rfam family "Bacterial small subunit ribosomal RNA", at positions 28 to 506 of the family's 1533-position model. The record is from RNAcentral.